AGAGUGAACGCUGGCGGCAGGCCUAACACAUGCAAGUCGAACGGCAGCACAGCAGUAGCAAUACUGUGGGUGGCGAGUGGCGGACGGGUGAGGAAUACAUCGGAAUCUACCUUGUCGUGGGGGAUAACGUAGGGAAACUUACGCUAAUACCGCAUACGAACUACGGUUGAAAGCGGCGGACCGCAAGGCGUCGCGCGAUUGGAUGAGCCGAUGUCCGAUUAGCUAGUUGGCGGGGUAAAGGCCCACCAAGGCGACGAUCGGUAGCUGGUCUGAGAGGAUGAUCAGCCACACUGGAACUGAGACGCGGUCCAGACUCCACGGGAGGCAGCAGUGGGGAAUAUUGGACAAUGGGCGCAAGCCUGAUCCAGCCAUGCCGCGUGUGUGAAGAAGGCCGUUCGGUUGUAAAGCUACGUUUUGUACCGAAAGUAACGUCCUGUACGGUUAAC
This 446-nucleotide ribosomal RNA is filed under the name uncultured soil bacterium. RNAcentral's name for it is "bacterial SSU rRNA". It matches the Rfam family "Bacterial small subunit ribosomal RNA", at positions 26 to 470 of the family's 1533-position model. The record is from RNAcentral.